UACGUAGGUGGCAAGCGUUGUCCGGAUUUACUGGGCGUAAAGAGCGCGCAGGCGGUCGUUCAAGUCGCGUGUGAAAGCCCCCGGCUCAACUGGGGAGGGUCACGCGAUACUGAUCGACUCGAAGGCAGGAGAGGGUAGUGGAAUUCCCGGUGUAGUGGUGAAAUGCGCAGAUAUCGGGAGGAACACCAGUGGCGAAGGCGACUACCUGGCCUGUUCUUGACGCUGAGGCGCGAAAGCUAGGGGAGCAAACGGG
Molecule: ribosomal RNA, 253 nt
Filed under: uncultured bacterium
Lineage: Bacteria
Description: partial 16S ribosomal RNA
Rfam family: Bacterial small subunit ribosomal RNA
Source: RNAcentral